GCAGGCCAUCAGCAGCCUCCGCCGCCCGCGCCGCCGGAAGCACAGGCGGGGCGCCGGGCCCGGGCGGCCUUGGAUGUGCGCAGGCGCAGGCCAAGCCUGUUGGGGGAAGACAGGGGCGGUCGGAGGUUCUGCGGCCCGCGGCUGCCCUCUCGUGGCACUUGGGCGCUACGGCAUGGGCGCUUCCGCCCAACCCCGGGAGCCCAGCCAAGCGCUGUGUUUUUCCAGGUCCGCGCAGGGCCAGGGGAACCCUGCGUGUUUGUUUGAUGGGAAUGGAUUACUGGAAAGCUAGACGGAAGGUACCCUGUAAACCGGCAGCUCCCAACUCCAUCCCAUUGAUGGAUAUCAUCCAGUGCCACCAGAGGGGCUGUGAGUGCCUGGAUUUUUGGUGGGAGGACAACAACUUCAGGAACAGGAACCAACAAAGGUCUCCCACUUUUGCAGAAGUCAUGCAUUGCGUUAGAGGCUAUUUCCUUUCUCUAGGCUCUGAACAUUUGCCCAGGCUGCAGAUGCUGGGAGUUUGCUCUAUGACCCCACCACACUUGUUCUGCUUAGGGUAUCAAAGCUCUUUGUGACCGAGGUUACCGUAAAGAUUUCCUGUGGAGGGAGACACCAGGGACAGAGCAUGCAUCUGGAAGUCUCACAGCGUGGACUCUGUGUGGUGACACUGCAGUUCCAUGUUCUUCAAGAAAUGUCUAGACUGGAUGACCUCAUUGGAGAUCUUCUGGCACAAAGCCCUUUUCACACAGCAAACUGAGACCCAGAGAGGGGAAGUGACUGGCCCAGGUCACUCAGCAAGUUGGUGGCCGAGCUGGAAUUAGAUCUCAGGUCUCCUGACAUCCGGUUCUGUCAUUAAUUACGCACAGUUGUUGAGGACCUACUAUAUGCCAGGCACUCUGCUGGGCACUGGGAUACAGCUGUGAACAAAAUGAAGAGCCUGCAUACAGCUUAGAUGCUCUGGUGUUUAUGUGGGGAGAUGGUGGGUAAGCAAAUAAACAAAUGUAUCCCAUAAUGCCAUGUAGUUAGGAUCACUAGGAAGCUCUGUGCUCCUCGUCCUCUGUCUUUGGAAGGAAGGGGUUAGAGGCUUGGGAGAUGCUCCCUUACGUGUUCACUCAUUAAGUAAAUAUCAGUGAGGCCCCACUGUGUGUUGGGUGCUGUGGCGACACACACGCAUAAGAGCAGGAUCUGCUUUCAAAAGCGUGCCGCUCAGUGGGCAGAUGGGGCAUGCCUCUUAGCAUCGUCUUUACAUGUAUGGCUAUUGUUUUUAUGCUCCUUGUUGUUCUCUCCUGGUCUCUUCCCAAGAGGAGGCUUGUAGAAAACUCUGAUCCUGAAGUGGUGUAAAUCCCUUCCCCAAAAGGCUUCUGGAAUCCAAUCGCUGCUACUGACUUAUUGAUGGACAUCAUCCAGUGACCUGGGGAGGCGGUGGGCAGCCCAGCCACAGCCUGUGAUAAGGAGAGACAACCCAGCAUCCGCCCUGCAGUGAAUAAUAGAACAAAAAGCUGCCGGCGCCUGCAGGAUCAAAGCGCAGGGGUGGUGGUGUCUCUGGGUUAAAUACAUCAGCAGAGGGGGCUGGAGCAGGUGGUGGACGCAGCUGGGAGGGAAGUCUGGGGUGUGGAGGAACCUUCAGCGGGAGAAAGGAUUUCUGUGCCUUACAAGAAGGUCUCCUGUGGCUCUCUUCUGUACCUUCCCUGGAGACCGAGGACUCUUCCCUCCACCCUCCCUCUCCACCACCCCCACCCCCACAGCCUAAAGAGAUGGAACGGCUGAGGCAGGAGGCAAGGGGGAAAAGCGUGCUGUACUAGGAGGCAGGAGACACUGGACCCCUGAGCUUAGGCGUCGCUGAAUUAUUUCCUAGGACACAGUCCCCUGUUCUGUAAAACGAGGAGGUUGAAAUAUGGUCUAGAACUUUCUUCCUGCUUUCAUAAACUGUAUUUUUCCGAAAAGAGGCAAAGAAGAUCUAUUACUUAGGGUCCCUGUCCAGUUACUUCUAGGCCAGGCAGAGAGAUCGCCAUAGCUGUCCUGGGCUCCUCCUCAAACUCAGUGUGUAAGCCCCCAUUUCUCCAGGGGGCGGGAGGGACCCAUAGGGGGGCAUGUGGAGGGACUGUAUUAUUUAUUCCCUCAUUCCACAUGCUCCCACUUGCCAUUGGAGAAACCAGAAGCUGCCUUAGAGUAAUUUUUUUUGGAUGAAUGAUUCCUGGGAUUUUUACCUUAAAAGAAUUUUUAAGACGUUAAUGUUAGUAUUGGUGUCUUUAAAUAUAUACGCAGUUCUAGAGUGGAAGACCCGGGUGGUAUGUGAUGUUCUGGGGAUCUUUGCAGAUGUUUAUCUCAGUCAAGAAGAUGCCCAGGGUUCUUAACACACUUUGAGAACCACACCCUGACCGUUCCUUGUGAACGUGUGUGUGUGUGUGUGUGUGCACGUGCAGGUGAGUGUCCAUGCAUGUGUGUGUGUGUAUGUCUGUGUGUGUGUGCCUGUGCCCUGAGUCAGCCUGAGUCCUGGGCCUUUUGUCUUUCCUCCUGAAUAAGCCAAAGGAGGAGGUCAGUGUAUAAUUAGAGGAAGAAAUGUGUCAGUCAGGAAAUAACCCAUUUUACUAGUGGAAAGUUAUUGAAAGCCCAUCCUUUUGUGUGUGAGCACCGGGGCCUGUAGGCAGAUGAGGAAUCUCAGAACAGAGUGGGAAGAUAAACCAGACCAAUAUUAAAGGCAAAAACUCCCAUGUUUGAUAUAAACCCAAGAUUCACGCAUGGAACCCAAUGCAGGUCCACCCAGACAGAGCACAUAGGGUGCACACACAUGCACAGCUCCACACGGGCACUGCACAGACAGACCUGUGGGAUGGCACCCCUGCACACGCAUGUACACUGAACAUCCUCACAGAUACAUUCAGUAUAGGGGAGGGACCCAGGGUUAUGGGUUCAACUGUGUCCCCCAAAAUAUGCUCAAGUCCUAACCCCUGGUACCAGUGAAUAUGACCUUAUUUGGAAGUUGGGUCUCUGCAGUGUAAACAGGUUUAGAUGCGGUCAUACUGGAGUGGAAUGGGCCCUGAUCCAAUGUGAUUGGUGUCCUUACAUAAAGAGGAAAAUUUGGAUGUAGACAGAGGGAGGAUGGAGUCAGAGACUGGAGUGAUGCUGCCACAAGCCAAGGAAGGCCUUGGGCUCCCAGAAGCUGGAAGAAGCGAGAAGAGAUCCUUCUCUAGGGAUGGACGCUGGAGGGACCAUGGUCCUGCAGUGCCUUGAUUUGCACUUCUAGCUCCAGAACUGUGAGACAAUAAAUCUCUGUUGUUUUAAGCCCCUCAGUCUGUGGUGCUGUGUCCCGGAAGAUGAAGACAACAGAUUCGUAGACUAUGUGGUGCAUGUCUACACCCAGGAUGCAUAGGACCUUUGGCACAGGCAGCAAGAGAUACUCAGGUCAUAUAGACUUCCCCUGCUCCUCUGCUCCCUUCCGCCAGCCUCAGCCUUCUUUCUUCUUGACCUCAUUCCCUACAGUGGCCUGAGAUCACCCCCACCAUCACCACAGCAGCCAACAUUUAUUGAGCACUUUCCUCUCUGCUGAGCACUAGUCUAAACGCUUAAGGUUAGUUAACCGAAUCUUCACAACAACUCUAGGUGUUGUCCCCAUUCACGGAUGAGGAAACUGAGGCACAGAGAAGUUGAAUAACUUGCCCAAGUAAGUGGGGGCAGAGAACUGGGAAUUUGGUGUAGAUCCUGCUUGUGUCUGCCACACCAGGGAAACGACUCUUUUCUCGGGAUUCUGUUAAGGACUGUGUUCCAAGUAAUACCUGGGGUGUCAGUCGCCUGCUUUAUGGGUCCUGAGCUGUGAUGUCCACAGCUAGACCUCUGACACAAAGGUCUCCUCUCCACCUCCACCUCAGUCUGUCAGACCUGCAAUGAGCUGUUUGAAGCAGUAGGAGCAGGGGGGGGACAACAUGGGCUCAGAGCAUCCAUCCCCCUCCUCCUUGACUUCUUGUUUUGAUUGAGGAAUAUUUUCGUACCAUAAGAUGCGCACAUUUUGAAGUGUACAGUUGGAUGAGAUUUAGGAAUAUAACCACCACUCCGAUUACAAAAGACCAUUUCUGUCACCACAGAAAGUUCCCUUGUGCCCCUUCAAAGUCGAUUGCCAUCUCCACCCCAGGCGACACUUGAUCCCAUUUCUACCACUGUAGAUUAACUUUGCGUGUUCUCUAACUUCACAUACGUGGAAAUACAUAAUACGUGCUUUUUUACGUAUGUGGCUCCUUUUACUCAGCAUGAUGUUUUUGAGAUUGAGGCUUGUAGUUACAUAUGCCAAUAGUUAUUCUUUUCUUUGUUGCUGAGUAGUAUUCCAUUGAAUGGGUGUACUCCCAUUUGUUUAUCCAUCCACCUGUUGAUAGACAUUUAGGUCAUUUGCCACCUUGGCUAUUACAAAUAAAGUUACUGUGAACAUCUG
Molecule: long non-coding RNA, 4417 nt
Filed under: Equus caballus (horse)
Lineage: Eukaryota; Metazoa; Chordata; Mammalia; Perissodactyla; Equidae
Description: lncRNA (ENSECAG00000045283.1)
Source: RNAcentral